This 253-nucleotide ribosomal RNA is filed under the name uncultured bacterium. RNAcentral's name for it is "partial 16S ribosomal RNA". It matches the Rfam family "Bacterial small subunit ribosomal RNA", at positions 524 to 776 of the family's 1533-position model. The record is from RNAcentral.
UACGUAGGGUGCGAGCGUUGUCCGGAAUUAUUGGGCGUAAAGAGCUUGUAGGCGGUUUGUCGCGUCUGCUGUGAAAAUCCGGGGCUCAACCCCGGACUUGCAGUGGGUACGGGCAGACUAGAGUGUGGUAGGGGAGACUGGAACUCCUGGUGUAGCGGUGGAAUGCGCAGAUAUCAGGAGGAACACCGAUGGCGAAGGCAGGUCUCUGGGCCACUACUGACGCUGAGAAGCGAAAGCAUGGGGAGCGAACAGG